UCGAGAAUCUUUCACAAUGGGGGCAACCCUGAUGGAGCGACGCCGCGUGGAGGAUAAGGUCUUCGGAUUGUAAACUCCUGUCAUGCGAGAACAAGGUUGCAGGGUUAAUAACUCUGCAAAUUGAUGGUACCGCAAGAGGAAGAGACGGCUAACUCUGUGCCAGCAGCCGCGGUAAUACAGAGGUCUCAAGCGUUGUUCGGAAUCACUGGGCGUAAAGGGUGCGUAGGUGGCGUGGUAAGUCAGAUGUGAAAGCCCGGGGCUCAACCCCGGAAUUGCAUCCGAUACUGCCAUGCUGGAGUACUGAAGAGGUGACUAGAAUUCUCGGUGUAGCAGUGAAAUGCGUAGAUAUCGAGAGGAAUACCAAAGGCGAAGGCAGGUCACUGGGCAGUUACUGACACUGAGGCACGAAGGCCAGGGGAGCAAACGGGAUUAGAUACCCCCGUAGUCC
RNAcentral lists this ribosomal RNA (448 nucleotides) under uncultured bacterium. RNAcentral's name for it is "bacterial SSU rRNA". It matches the Rfam family "Bacterial small subunit ribosomal RNA", at positions 355 to 796 of the family's 1533-position model. The record is from RNAcentral.